GUAAGGAAUAUUGGACAAUGGACGCAAGUCUGAUCCAGCCAUGCCGCGUGAAGGAUUAAGGUCCUCUGGAUUGUAAACUUCUUUUAUAAGGGACGAAAAAAGGCUUUUCUAAGUCGUCUGACGGUACCUUAUGAAUAAGCACCGGCUAACUCCGUGCCAGCAGCCGCGGUAAUACGGAGGGUGCAAGCGUUAUCCGGAUUCACUGGGUUUAAAGGGUGCGUAGGCGGGCAGGUAAGUCAGUGGUGAAAUCCUAGAGCUUAACUCUAGAACUGCCAUUAGUACUAUCGGUCUUGAAUAUUGUGGAGGUAAGCGGAAUAUGUCAUGUAGCGGUGAAAUGCUUAGAUAUGACAUAGAACACCUAUUGCGAAGGCAGCUUACUACGCAUAUAUUGACGCUGAGGCACGAAAGCGUGGGGAUCAAACAGGAUUAGAAACCCCGGUAGUCC
This 445-nucleotide ribosomal RNA is filed under the name uncultured bacterium. Its description in RNAcentral is "partial 16S ribosomal RNA". It matches the Rfam family "Bacterial small subunit ribosomal RNA", at positions 354 to 796 of the family's 1533-position model. The record is from RNAcentral.